UACGUAGGGACCAAGCGUUGUUCGGAUUUACUGGGCGUAAAGGGCGCGUAGGCGGCGUGGUAAGUCACUUGUGAAAUCUCUGAGCUUAACUCAGAACGGCCAAGUGAUACUGCUGUGCUAGAGUGCAGAAGGGGCAAUCGGAAUUCUUGGUGUAGCGGUGAAAUGCGUAGAUAUCAAGAGGAACACCUGAGGUGGAGACGGGUUGCUGGGCUGACACUGACGCUGAGGCGCGAAAGCUAGGGGAGCAAACGGG
RNAcentral lists this ribosomal RNA (253 nucleotides) under uncultured bacterium. RNAcentral describes it as "partial 16S ribosomal RNA". It matches the Rfam family "Bacterial small subunit ribosomal RNA", at positions 524 to 776 of the family's 1533-position model. The record is from RNAcentral.